CCCCUUGUGGUGUAGUUGGAUAUCACGUUCGGCUGUAAAUGUUAUUUGUUACCGAAAGGUCACCGGCUCGAUUCCGGUCGAGGGGA
This is a transfer RNA of Coniochaeta ligniaria NRRL 30616, 86 nucleotides long. It matches the Rfam family "tRNA". From Rfam's summary of the family: Transfer RNA (tRNA) molecules are approximately 80 nucleotides in length. Their secondary structure includes four short double-helical elements and three loops (D, anti-codon, and T loops). NCBI's taxonomy places the organism in Eukaryota, Fungi, Ascomycota, Sordariomycetes, Coniochaetales, Coniochaetaceae. The record is from Rfam.